UCAGAUGAAACGCUGGCGGCGUGCCUAACACAUGCAAGUCGAGCGGUAACAGGUGUAGCAAUACAUGCUGACGAGCGGCGGACGGGUGAGCAAUAUUUGGGAAUCUGCCUAUUAGUGGGGGACAACCCGGGGAAACUCGGGCUAAUACCGCAUACGCACUACGGUGGAAAGCCGGGGACCGCAAGGCCUGGCGCUAAUAGAUGAGCCCAAAUCGGAUUAGCUAGUUGGUGAGGUAACGGCUCACCAAGGCGACAAUCCGUAGCUGGUCUGAGAGGACGACCAGCCACACCGGAACUGAGACACGGUCCGGACUCCUACGGGAGGCAGCAGUGGGGAAUAUUGGACAAUGGGGGAAACCCUGAUCCAGCGACGCCGCGUGGGUGAAGAAGGCCUGCGGGUUGUAAAGCCCUUUCGGUGGGGAAGAAAAGUUUCGACCUAACACGUCGAGACCUUGACGUAACCCAUAGAAGAAGCACCGGCUAACUCUGUGCCAGCAGCCGCGGUAAUACAGAGGGUGCGAGCGUUAAUCGGAAUUACUGGGCGUAAAGCGCGCGUAGGCGGCUUUGCAAGCCGGAUGUGAAAUCCCCGGGCUUAACCUGGGAACUGCAUUCGGGACUGCAUUGCUUGAGUAUGGGAGAGGGAGGCGGAAUUUCCGGUGUAGCGGUGAAAUGCGUAGAUAUCGGAAGGAACAUCAGUGGCGAAAGCGGCCUCCUGGACCAAUACUGACGCUCAUGUGCGAAAGCGUGGGGAGCAAACAGGAUUAGAUACCCUGGUAGUCCACGCCAUAAACGAUGAGAACUGGAUGUCGGGAGGGUCUGCCUCUCGGUGUCGUAGCUAACGCGUUAAGUUCUCCGCCUGGGGAGUACGGCCGCAAGGUGAAACUCAAAG
Molecule: ribosomal RNA, 888 nt
Filed under: uncultured bacterium
Lineage: Bacteria
Description: bacterial SSU rRNA
Rfam family: Bacterial small subunit ribosomal RNA
Source: RNAcentral